UGCUGUGGGGAAUUUUGGACAAUGGGGGCAACCCUGAUCCAGCAAUGCCGCGUGUGUGAAGAAGGCCUUCGGGUUGUAAAGCACUUUUGUCCGGAAAGAAAUUGCUCUGGCUAAUACCUGGGGUAGAUGACGGUACCGGAAGAAUAAGCACCGGCUAACUACGUGCCAGCAGCCGCGGUAAUACGUAGGGUGCGAGCGUUAAUCGGAAUUACUGGGCGUAAAGCGUGCGCAGGCGGUUUUGUAAGACAGGCGUGAAAUCCCCGGGCUCAACCUGGGAAUUGCGCUUGUGACUGCAAGGCUAGAGUGCGUCAGAGGGGGGUAGAAUUCCACGUGUAGCAGUGAAAUGCGUAGAGAUGUGGAGGAAUACCGAUGGCGAAGGCAGCCCCCUGGGACGUGACUGACGCUCAUGCACGAAAGCGUGGGGAGCAAACAGGAUUUAGAU
This 442-nucleotide ribosomal RNA is filed under the name Cupriavidus sp. Its description in RNAcentral is "bacterial SSU rRNA". It matches the Rfam family "Bacterial small subunit ribosomal RNA", at positions 350 to 783 of the family's 1533-position model. Lineage: Bacteria; Pseudomonadati; Pseudomonadota; Betaproteobacteria; Burkholderiales; Burkholderiaceae. The record is from RNAcentral.